Molecule: ribosomal RNA, 433 nt
Filed under: uncultured bacterium
Lineage: Bacteria
Description: partial 16S ribosomal RNA
Rfam family: Bacterial small subunit ribosomal RNA
Source: RNAcentral
AACGAACGCUGGCGGCAUGCCUAACACAUGCAAGUCGAACGAUCCCUUCGGGGAUAGUGGCGCACGGGUGCGUAACGCGUGGGAACCUGCCCUUAGGUUCGGAAUAACUCAGAGAAAUUUGAGCUAAUACCGGAUAAUGUCUUCGGACCAAAGAUUUAUCGCCUUUGGAUGGGCCCGCGUUGGAUUAGCUAGUUGGUGGGGUAAAGGCCUACCAAGGCGACGAUCCAUAGCUGGUCUGAGAGGAUGAUCAGCCACACUGGGACUGAGACACGGCCCAGACUCCUACGGGAGGCAGCAGUGGGGAAUAUUGGACAAUGGGCGAAAGCCUGAACCAGCAAUGCCGCGUGAGUGAUGAAGGCCUUAGGGUUGUAAAGCUCUUUUACCCGGGAUGAUAAUGACAGUACCGGGAGAAUAAGCCCCGGCUAACUCCGUG